GUGCUCACUUCAGCAGCACACACACUAAAAUUGGAACCAUACAGAGAAGAUUAGCAUGGCCCCUGUGCAACGACGACACGGAAAUUCAUGAAGCGUUCCAUAUUUUU
This is a small nuclear RNA of Tursiops truncatus (common bottlenose dolphin), 107 nucleotides long. Lineage: Eukaryota; Metazoa; Chordata; Mammalia; Artiodactyla; Delphinidae. The record is from Ensembl.